RNAcentral lists this ribosomal RNA (376 nucleotides) under uncultured bacterium. RNAcentral describes it as "bacterial SSU rRNA". It matches the Rfam family "Bacterial small subunit ribosomal RNA", at positions 523 to 898 of the family's 1533-position model. The record is from RNAcentral.
AUACGUAGGGAGCAAGCGUUGUCCGGAAUCAUUGGGCGUAAAGGGCGCGUAGGCGGCCUGUUAAGUCAAGUGUGAAAUUUACUGGCUCAACCAGUAGACUGCGCUUGAAACUGGCGGGCUAGAGAUCAGGAGAGGAAAGUGGAAUUCCUAGUGCAGCGGUGAAAUGCGUAGAUAUUAGGAAGAACAUCGAUGGCGAAGGCAGCUUUCUGGCCUGACACUGACGCUGAGGCGCGAAAGCGGGGGGAGCAAACAGGAUUAGAUACCCUGGUAGUCCACGCCGUAAACGAUGGAUACUAGGUGUAGGGGGUUCGAUUCCCUCUGUGCCGCAGUUAACGCAAUAAGUAUCCCGCCUGGGGAGUACGGUCGCAAGAUUGAA